UCCCAUCUCACGAGUACCGGCGGCGAUGGCAUGUGGACUUGGAGGCGACGCCGCCGGCGCGAGGACCUGGGGCGACGCCACCAUCUUGCGAACCUGAGUCUAGGGCCGCCUUUCCGACGCGCCUCCCGAGCCGUUCCUCAGAUCGAGCGCCGCGGCGGCUCUCCCAGGCCGCACCAUCAUCGAAGCCGCAGCCGCUCCGCGGAAGUCGAUGGAGACCUGCUCCUACAGCGGCCCUAAAGAUUUGAAGCUCUAGUUUGGUCUUCUUUUGAUUUGACAACUUUGUGUUUGAAGGGUGCUUUUUCAGACAACCUUCAGUAUCGAGGCAAGUUCAUGACCGACCUCUUUCAUUGUAUGCAUGGUUGUCUUGUUGCUUGUGCUUCAGUGUACUUUGUUCUUCACAUUUGGUGUUUGAACCUCGGGCCAAGCCAUCCUGCCAUUUUGUCUCCGCCUCGAUGAGAUGAACUCCCGGGCCAAAGGAAUUGUCCCUGGGGGCCCUCCACAGCAUGAUGGAUCGCAAGGACGAACGGUUCCGAAGAUCUGCUCUCCCGCAAAAUGAUGCACGCUGGCGUUCAGGAUAGAGUAGACUACUGUGGCAGAGAAAGUUGCGAGAUGAGGCAAAACCUCAGGUGUUUUCAAUGUAUCUUUGGCCGAGGUCGGUAAGCAGUAUAUAUAGGUGAACCAGAAGCGGUAUUGUGUUGCGACCACAAUCUCAAAUCGACUUGGUUUCCAAGUCGAACUUACCGGACAAGCAAACAACGAACUUGUCCGUCAAGACACCAAAAAAAUAAAACGGCAAAAGGAAGUUGCGCCCCCGCAAGACAAAAGACCGGAUUUCGAUGGACCAUUCAUGCAUAUCAGAUGAUAUAAAUGAAGUGAUGGAGGCUCAUAACCAAAUCCUGGACAUAAUGGGGAAUGACAUAUUCAUCAAGGGGUUUUUUCUCUGGAACUGUGGACAAAUUCAAGAUGGUGUUCAAGACCAAAUCGAGCAGGGGAUGGGAACCCUCGUGGCCUGGCGUCGUUCCUCGGCUCUUCAUACUAGUGUACUACCUGACCAGGUAGAAGGAUCCUUGGGUUGGGCGUGCUUGCGGGGCGCGGCCCCGACUCAGCGUCCGUCCACCGCGCCAGGUAACCUGACCUAACCCGGCCGGGCAGGCGUGGGCGUUGCUGCGGCGCGUGAGGUCAAGUCCGGUGUGCCGGCGGCCGAUGGAGACGAUGCGCAAGUCCGGCUGCCGGUUGUUGCUGACCUCGCUGCCAGCGGAGGACGUCGACGCACGGCGCAACGUGGUCAUCGUCGACGGGCCGAGCGGGGCGGGGCCAGCGAGCCAGGGAAGAUGGGCGCCAGCAAAAAAAACAUCGAAGCGACGAGUGAUGCUGGAUAGGAAACGAGCCACGAUCGAUUCGUUCGGCAGUUUUGCAAAAAAAAAAACUCUAGUCUGCGAGUUACAUAUUUCCUUGACGAAUCUACCCCUUGAAUAAAAAACUGGUCCCACAA
This is a long non-coding RNA of Triticum dicoccoides, 1492 nucleotides long. RefSeq lists it as uncharacterized. NCBI's taxonomy places the organism in Eukaryota, Viridiplantae, Streptophyta, Magnoliopsida, Poales, Poaceae. The record is from RefSeq and is a predicted model, not a curated record. The transcript is spliced from 6 exons.